CUUGGGGCUGAAGUUCGGCUCCCGUAGGAGCUCAGACGAAGUCUACCUGCAGUCGGAGUUCGGAGAAGAAGUCCAGCUCCCGUAGGAGCUCGGACGAAGUCUACCUGCAGUCGGGAUUCGGGGAAGAAAUCCGGCUCCCGUAGGAGCUCGGACAAAGUCUACCUGCAGUCGGGGUUCGGGGAAGAAGUCCGGCUCCCGUAGGAGCUCGGACGAAGUCUAGAAGGUGGUCGACCACCGUAGAAACUUGGAUGGAGUCCGUCCGUCGUGGAGAAUCCGGUUGACACUGGUGGGGGNNNNNNNNNNNNNNNNNNNNUUUAUCCGUCGGCAGGACUUGGGAACGUUGCGGAGGCUCGACCGUCGGAGAGAUUCGGGAAGAUGUCGCCGAAGGUCGGACGUCGGUAGAAUCCCGGGAGGGUCACUCCUGACACGAACUUCGGCUGGGGGGUAUUUUAUACCCAACACCAGUCCCCCUACUUCCAAGUUCGACUUUCGAAUGAAG
This 499-nucleotide long non-coding RNA is filed under the name Elaeis guineensis (African oil palm). RNAcentral's name for it is "long non-coding RNA (EGUI_LNC025092)". The record is from RNAcentral. Lineage: Eukaryota; Viridiplantae; Streptophyta; Magnoliopsida; Arecales; Arecaceae.